This 606-nucleotide unclassified non-coding RNA is filed under the name Hevea brasiliensis (rubber tree). The record is from RNAcentral. Lineage: Eukaryota; Viridiplantae; Streptophyta; Magnoliopsida; Malpighiales; Euphorbiaceae.
GAUUUGAUUUGGGUACAUAGCUUAUUAUAGAGACAUGCUCACAACUCUUAACAUCAAGUCCUCCAUCAAAUUUGAUAAUACCAUCACAAACAGUUGUCAAAACAUGUAUACUAUGUAUCGAGAACAACAAAUAUGGAACUAGAACGAGAAGGAUUAUCAAUCUCUUCUUUAAUGUUCUCCCUGAUAGAUUAUUCGAACACCACGAAGUAGACAAUGGGAAAAUGUUACAUGGGUCGAGUGUUCCCAAGAAGCGUCCCCACAAGGUUAGUCACCUGCCAGUACUUUGAAACGCAUCGGUCAAUACAACUAUUUUCACCCAUGUUCAACUCCGAGUCCUUGUACUUGUUCUCGACGCAUUUUUUGAAGCAUGUAUGCGUAAGCUUGUUAAACAUCUCCACUCUAUACUCCAUCUCUUUCUCUGCCAUAGAGAAUAUCUGUUCUCUUUCAAGGUUAGAAGGAACACCAGCCAUUAUAACCUUUUCAAGAAUGGAAAAUUAGGUGAAACCCCAGAAAGUGAAUCCAAGAAUGAGAGGCGCAAAGAAGAGAAAGAGGACUUGUGAGGGUUUUGAGUUUUGAGUUUUGAGGUUUAACUGACCUUUUCAAGAA